RNAcentral lists this long non-coding RNA (348 nucleotides) under Actinidia chinensis (golden kiwifruit). Its description in RNAcentral is "long non-coding RNA (ACHI_LNC001666)". The record is from RNAcentral. Lineage: Eukaryota; Viridiplantae; Streptophyta; Magnoliopsida; Ericales; Actinidiaceae.
UUGCCGCAGGCCAACACCACCCCAUCCAUGUCCCUCCCAUUGCCACCAAUCCGCUCGGUCAUAGCCAUCCCCGCCCUUCCGUUGUCCAUCCACCAUACCCUCAACACACACACACACACACAUACACACAGAGGACAAAGGUGAAGGGUGGGGGGCUUUGGGUGUAGAGCGGGGCUGGACGUGGUGACAGGGUGGCUAUGGCAAGGCUAGUGAGUUGCAUGGGAGGCAUGGGAAGAGUCUGGGAAGGUUGCAGGGUGGAGUGGGUGGAUAUGGCGAUGGAAACAUUGGCGAUAGGUGGUGGGUUGUGGUGGACUCUUAGGGUGGUUAGGGUUUGUAGUUUCAUGGUGG